Molecule: ribosomal RNA, 449 nt
Filed under: uncultured bacterium
Lineage: Bacteria
Description: partial 16S ribosomal RNA
Rfam family: Bacterial small subunit ribosomal RNA
Source: RNAcentral
GACGAACGCUGGCGGCGUGCUUAACACAUGCAAGUCGAGCGAGACCUUCGGGUCUAGCGGCGGACGGGUGAGUAACGCGUGGGAAUAUGCCCUUCUCUACGGAAUAGCCUCGGGAAACUGAGAGUAAUACCGUAUACGCCCUUCGGGGGAAAGAUUUAUCGGAGAAGGAUUAGCCCGCGUUGGAUUAGGUAGUUGGUGGGGUAAUGGCCUACCAAGCCUACGAUCCAUAGCUGGUUUGAGAGGAUGACCAGCCACACUGGGACUGAGACACGGCCCAGACUCCUACGGGAGGCAGCAGUGGGGAAUCUUAGACAAUGGGGGAAACCCUGAUCUAGCCAUGCCGCGUGAGUGAUGAAGGCCUUAGGGUUGUAAAGCUCUUUCAGCUGGGAAGAUAAUGACGGUACCAGCAGAAGAAGCCCCGGCUAACUCCGUGCCAGCCGCCGCGGUAA